AUUGAACGCUGGCGGCAUGCUUUACACAUGCAAGUCGAACGGCAGCGCGGGCUUCGGCCUGACGGCGAGUGGCGAACGGGUGAGUAAUACAUCGGAACGUGCCCAGUAGUGGGGGAUAGCUCGGCGAAAGCCGGAUUAAUACCGCAUACGACCUGAGGGUGAAAGCGGGGGAUCUUCGGACCUCGCGCUAUUGGAGCGGCCGAUGGCAGAUUAGCUAGUUGGUGGGGUAAAGGCCUACCAAGGCGACGAUCUGUAGCUGGUCUGAGAGGACGACCAGCCACACUGGGACUGAGACACCGCCCAGACUCCUACGGGAGGCAGCAGUGGGGAAUUUUGGACAAUGGGCGAAAGCCUGAUCCAGCAAUGCCGCGUGUGUGAUGAAGGCCUUCGGGUUGUAAAGCACUUUUGGCGGGAACGAAAAGGCCUGUGCCAAUACCACGGUUCGAUGACGGUACCCGCAGAAUAAGCACCGGCUAACUACGUG
This 484-nucleotide ribosomal RNA is filed under the name uncultured bacterium. Its description in RNAcentral is "partial 16S ribosomal RNA". It matches the Rfam family "Bacterial small subunit ribosomal RNA", at positions 29 to 507 of the family's 1533-position model. The record is from RNAcentral.